GUCACAGAUAAUCUUACCUCUGACAACCCACCUCAGUUUCAGAGGCAACAGGUACUAUAAGAAUUUGGUGUGAUCUUUUCACACUUAAAAAAUUUUUUUCACAUAUAUGCGUGGGCUCAUGGGAAAUAUAUAUUGUGUGUCAGCAUGUGUGUGUGUAUGUGUGGCUUGUUUUACACAGAGGGUGGCGCAGUUACAUAUCACACAGCAAAACGCUUUUUUUAAACUCAGGCACAGCCAGAUGGGCUGCCGUUGGUUGCAAGCCUGGAAGAGUCAGAAAGAAACCUGAGGCUGUCAAGGAAGCUUGAAGGUGGGUCUUCAACUCUGGGCCCAGAAGGAGCAUCACCUCCACCUGGCCUUGUCUGGUUCAUCUACAGCCUGCAGGAAGAGAGGGGGAGGGGGGAGAGGGGGAAAGGGAGAGAGGAAGAGAGGGGAGAGGAAGACAGGGGAGAGGAAGAGAGAGAGAGGGAGAGGGACAGAGGGAGAGAGGGAGAGGAAGAGAGGAGGGAGGGAGGGAGAGAGAGAGAGAGAGAGAGA
Molecule: long non-coding RNA, 534 nt
Filed under: Macaca fascicularis (crab-eating macaque)
Lineage: Eukaryota; Metazoa; Chordata; Mammalia; Primates; Cercopithecidae
Description: lncRNA (ENSMFAG00000059920.1)
Source: RNAcentral